RNAcentral lists this ribosomal RNA (554 nucleotides) under uncultured bacterium. RNAcentral's name for it is "bacterial SSU rRNA". It matches the Rfam family "Bacterial small subunit ribosomal RNA", at positions 355 to 896 of the family's 1533-position model. The record is from RNAcentral.
UGGGGAAUAUUGCGCAAUGGGGGGAACCCUGACGCAGCCAUGCCGCGUGAAUGAAGAAGGCCUUAGGGUUGUAAAGUUCUUUCGGUAUUGAGGAGAGGAAGGUUGAUGUGUUAAUAGCACAUCAAAUUGACGUUAAAUACAGAAGAAGCACCGGCUAACUCCGUGCCAGCAGCCGCGGUAAUACGGAGGGUGCGAGCGUUAAUCGGAAUAACUGGGCGUAAAGGGCACGCAGGCGGUUAUUUAAGUGAGGUGUGAAAGCCCCGGGCUUAACCUGGGAAUUGCAUUUCAGACUGGGUAACUAGAGUACUUUAGGGAGGGGUAGAAUUCCACGUGUAGCGGUGAAAUGCGUAGAGAGAUGUGGAGGAAUACCGAAGGCGAAGGCAGCCCCUUGGGAAUGUACUGACGCUCAUGUGCGAAAGCGUGGGGAGCGAACAGGAUUAGAUACCCUGGUAGUCCACGCUGUAAACGCUGUCGAUUUGGGGGUUGGGGUUUAACUCUGGCGCCCGUAGCUAACGUGAUAAAUCGACCGCCUGGGGAGUACGGCCGCAAGGUUA